Tripterygium wilfordii is the source of this 1805-nucleotide RNA transcript. RefSeq lists it as uncharacterized. The record is from RefSeq and is a predicted model, not a curated record. The transcript is spliced from 3 exons. NCBI's taxonomy places the organism in Eukaryota, Viridiplantae, Streptophyta, Magnoliopsida, Celastrales, Celastraceae.
UCAGUCCUCAGAAGGGUCAUGCCCACUCUGAAACAUACGCGCAGUCCCAAAUCUCCAGAAAUGCUCGAGCGCGCCCUCUCUACGCGACUCCGCGGUCCGUCUCCUCACUCCGAUGACACCGAUAUUGAAGCCGCCGAAGAGAACGCUGCCGUCGAUGAAUUCAAGACCAAGAGGCAACAUAUCUCCCUCUUGGCCUCCAAUUACCUGUCCCGCGUCGGCCACCUUUGGCCUGGUCCCUGUCUCGUCCUCUGCCUUCUAGUCCUUCUUCUCUUAAUCACUUCGUUGCACUUUCAGUCUCGCGGUCUCGUCUGUUCGUCCUCGUACGACAGGUCUCACAUUGGGUUUUUUGGGCUCGAUGGGCUGGAUUCGGACUUCGGUAUCGAAACAUAGAAAAACAGUUGAAUGGACAUCAAAAGAUUUGCUGAAGGGUUUGGAGGAGUUUGUCCCAAUUUAUGAAACACGGCCAAUAAAAAGUAACCUGUAUGGGAUGGGUUUUGAUCACAGCUUUGCGAUUUGGUUUAUUGCUUGAUGGCUGAAGCCUGAUCUGAUGAUUGAGAGUGGUGCAUUCAAAGGGCAUUCGACUUGGGUCUUGCGGCAGGCCAUGCCAGACACACCAAUUAUAUCCCUUUCACCUCGGCAUCCUGAGAAAUAUCUGAAGAAGGGACCUGCUUAUAUCGAUGGAAAUUGUACAUAUUUUGCUGGAAAGGAAUUUAUUGAUUUUGGGAGUGUUGAUUGGAAGAGUGUGAUGAAGAAACAUGGCAUUACUGAUCUUACUCGAGUUCUUAUUUUCUUUGAUGACCAUCAGAACGAAUUGAAAAGGAGGUGGACAUAGCUGCUUUAAAGACAGUGAUGAAGCCAGAAUUAGAUCAAAAAGGAAGAAAUGUUGGGGUAAGGCAGUGGAUAUAGAUGAACUAUGUGGACCAGGUGAAGCGUGGUGGGGUGUUAGAGGGUUUGUGAGGGACAAGUUUAACCAUAGCAAUCAGCCAAUUUCCUAUGCGGAACAUUUCCAAAACAGUCGGUUCCUUGGAUCAAUACUUGAUGUUUAUUGGGAGCUUCCUCCAGUUGCUGGUCUUUCUCUCACUCACCAGACACGUUACGAUCCUGCUCGUGCUUUUACUCCGAUUGUUGAAGAUGCCUGGUAUGGCCUAUUCCAGAAGCUUGGUCUAGGUAGGCUUGAUCGUUCAGUUUUUAAUGGAUAUAGGGAAAAUUUAAUGCGUGUUAAACAAAAAUAUUUCUUAAUUUGGAUGUAGAUAAUUACGCAGUUGUAUUAUAAUCUUAAAUUAAUCAUUGAAAAGGGAAAAGAAAAUCAGAGUGAAAUCUGAUCCCAGUCCUCAGUAGGGUCAUGCCCACUCUGAAACAUCCGCGCAGUCCCAAAUCUCCAGAAAUGCUUGAGCUCACCCUCUCCACGCGACUCCGCGGUCCAUCUCUUCACUCUGAUGACACAGAUAUUGAAGUCGCCGAAUAGAACGUUGCCGUCGAUGAAUCCAAGACCAAGAGGCAACAUAUCUCGCUCUUGGCCUCCAAUUACCUGUUCCGAGUUGGCCACCUUUGGCCUGGUCCCCGUCUCGUCCUAUGCCUUCUAGUCCUCUUAAUCACUUUGUUGCAUUUUCAGUCUCGCGGUCUCGUCUGCUGGUCCUCGUACGACAGGUCUCGCGUUGGGUUUUUUGGGCUUGAUUCGGACUUUGGAGUGCUUCGAGUGCCAUGGUGUAAGCAUUUCUGCUUUAUGUAUCAAUAUAUGUUCGCAUUUGUUUCUGUACGAGCGGUUGUUCUUAUAUAUGUGAUGUGAUCUGGAAACUUGCUUAAUU